Molecule: transfer RNA, 69 nt
Filed under: Pionites leucogaster
Lineage: Eukaryota; Metazoa; Chordata; Aves; Psittaciformes; Psittacidae
Description: tRNA-Glu
Rfam family: tRNA
About the family: Transfer RNA (tRNA) molecules are approximately 80 nucleotides in length. Their secondary structure includes four short double-helical elements and three loops (D, anti-codon, and T loops).
Source: RNAcentral
GUUUUUAUAGUUGAGGUAACAACGAUGGCUUUUCAGGUCAUAGGUCUUGGUUAAGUCCAAGUAAGAACU